GUAGGAGGCGAGCGUUAUCCGGAUUUACUGGGUGUAAAGCGCGUGCAGGCGGCUCGAUAAGUUGGAUGUGAAAGCUCCCGGCUCAACUGGGAGAGGUCGUUCAAGACUGUCGGGCUUGAGGGAGGUAGGGGAAGGUGGAAUUCCGGGUGUAGUGGUGAAAUGCGUAGAUAUCCGGAGGAACACCAGUGGCGAAGGCGGCCUUCUGGACCCCCCCUGACGCUCAGACGCGAAAGCUAGGGGAGCAAACGGGAUUAGAGACCCCGGUAGUCCUAGCCGUAAACGAUGUGAACUUGGCGCCGGUCGGGUAAAACUGGGCGGUGCCGGAGCUAACGCGAUAAGUUCACCACCUGGGGACUACGGCCGCAAGGUUAAA
This 373-nucleotide ribosomal RNA is filed under the name uncultured bacterium. RNAcentral's name for it is "bacterial SSU rRNA". It matches the Rfam family "Bacterial small subunit ribosomal RNA", at positions 527 to 898 of the family's 1533-position model. The record is from RNAcentral.